GAGAUUAAAAGGCCAUCACGUUUCUCAGAUGCAGUGGAAGUCCAGUUUUAACAGGCAUAAAACAAUGACUCAUCCUAGGGACUUCAUGAAAAUGAAAAGAGCAAGCUCAAACUUCUGAUGCCUUGAAUAAGGAGUUCAGGAAAAACUCAGUAAAGCUGAGAACAGUCUCUGUCAUCACUGGAUACUGGAGCAGCAGAGAGCCAAUGCUUAUACUUUCAGAUUUGUUCAAAUGUUAAA
RNAcentral lists this long non-coding RNA (237 nucleotides) under Bos taurus (domestic cattle). RNAcentral describes it as "long non-coding RNA NONBTAT022894". Lineage: Eukaryota; Metazoa; Chordata; Mammalia; Artiodactyla; Bovidae. The record is from RNAcentral.